UUUCCGUAGGUGAACCUGCGGAAGGAUCAUUAUUGAAAUAAACCUGAUGGGUUGUUGCUGGUUCUCUAGGGAGCAUGUGCACGCCUUGUCAUCUUUAUAUCUCCACCUGUGCACCUUUUGUAGACCUUUCAGGUCUAUGUUUGCUUCAUUUACCCCAAUGUAUGUUAAUAGAAUGUUGUGCCUAUAUAAUAUAUACAACUUUCAGCAACGGAUCUCUUGGCUCUCGCAUCGAUGAAGAACGCAGCGAAAUGCGAUAAGUAAUGUGAAUUGCAGAAUUCAGUGAAUCAUCGAAUCUUUGAACGCACCUUGCGCUCCUUGGUAUUCCGAGGAGCAUGCCUGUUUGAGUGUCAUUAAUAUCUAUAUCAACCCUCCUUCUCUUGUGUAGGAGUGGUUUGGAUUUGGGGGUUUGCUGGCCUCUUUAAAAGGUUCAGCUCCCCUGAAAUGCAUUAGCAGAACAAUCCUUGUUCAUUGGCGUGAUAACUAUCUAUGCUAUUGAAUGUGAGGUGCAGUUCAGCUUUCUAACAGUCCUUUGGACAAAUUUAUCAUUAAUGUGACCUCAAAUCAGGUAGGACUACCCGCUGAACUUAA
RNAcentral lists this ribosomal RNA (588 nucleotides) under Cortinarius umbilicatus. Its description in RNAcentral is "partial ribosomal RNA". The stretch from base 197 to 350 matches the Rfam family "5.8S ribosomal RNA". The record is from RNAcentral. Lineage: Eukaryota; Fungi; Basidiomycota; Agaricomycetes; Agaricales; Cortinariaceae.